GAUGAAGAACGCAGCAAAGUGCGAUAAGUAAUGUGAAUUGCAGAAUACCGUGAAUCAUCGAAUCUUUGAACGCAUAUUGCACUCUCUGGUAUUCCGGAGAGUAUGCCUGUUUGAGGGUCAGUUAAAAAAAAUCAAGCGUUAUUGCUUUGGUGAUGACGUUUGGAAUUGAGUCGUCUUAAUCCUUACGGUCAAAGUGACUUAAAAUUUUUAAUGUGAUUUCGAAACGUAUUUAAUAUUUUACUUACGUUUGCGAUAUCAAAUAAUCUAUUAGAUGUGGUCAUUUUCCAUGAUUCGCGUCUAUAGUUUUCUCAUUAAAUGACCUCAAAUCAGGUAAGAGUACCCGCUGAACUUAAGCAUAUCAAUAAGCGGAGGA
Molecule: unclassified non-coding RNA, 373 nt
Filed under: soil metagenome
Description: partial contains 5.8S ribosomal RNA, internal transcribed spacer 2, and large subunit ribosomal RNA
Rfam family: 5.8S ribosomal RNA (bases 1-120)
Source: RNAcentral